UGCGCACCAGACACACCGUGCGCAUGCUGGUUUACCAUUAUUUUCGCGCGCUCCAGCAUCCAUCACUCGACUCACAACUUCACUGAGGAAAACUGACAGUGGGUGAAUGUAUGAUGGCGCCACCUCAGGACCCACAGUUGGAGAAGCUGGUUGAUGAGGUGCUUAAGAACAGCAAUUUUCAGGCAUUGGGUGAUUUCUUGCAAGAUGAUGAGGGAACAACUUGGAGAUGUUCCAAACAAUUCCUCGCCAAAUUGGACAAACUUGUUAGUAGGGAAUUAGAUCACAGAAAUGUCAAGCAUGCUUGUUUGGGACUCACGAUCCUGCACAAAUUUGGGAAAAACCUGGCUUUACCUGGAGGUCAAGGCUUAUCUGGGAUGGUACUCCAAGGUCUUGUCAAAAAGAUAAGUAUUUCAACCCUAUUAUACACCCAGUUGCCAGUAUAUUAGGUAUACCACCCUGUUCAUGAAAACAGUUUUUUCGUAUAGACAGUGAGUCACGUGGUAGUUGCUUGCUAUAUACGCAGGCAGAUAGGCAGAGGCAUUCAGUUACUGUUUGUUUUAACAUUAGAAUGGGCAAAACAAUUUACCUAAGCAAUUUUGAGCGUGGUAUGAUCGUCAGUGCUGGUUCCAGUAUUUAAAAAACAGCCAGCCUCCUGGGCUUUUCAUGCACAACAGUGUCUAGGGUUUACCGAGAAUAUUGCAACAAACAAAAAACAUCCAGUCAGUGGCAGUACUGUGAGCGAAAAACAGCUUGUUGAUUGGAGGUUGAAGGAGAAUGGCAAGAAUCGUGCAAGUAAUGGGCAGGCCACAAACAGGCAAAUAACAACACAGUACAACAGUGGUUGUCCAGAACAGCAACUCGUCAGUCCUUGUCACAGAUGGGCUAUUGCAGCAGACGACCACACCAGGAGUGGGGUUCACCUCCUAUCAGCUAAAAACAAGAAGAAGCGGUUCCAUUGGGCACGCAAUCACCAACACUAGACAAUUGAGGAGUGGAAAAACAGCCUGGUCCGACUAAUCCCGGUUGCAGUUGAG
Oncorhynchus tshawytscha (Chinook salmon) is the source of this 1034-nucleotide long non-coding RNA. Lineage: Eukaryota; Metazoa; Chordata; Actinopteri; Salmoniformes; Salmonidae. The record is from Ensembl.